GACGAACGCUGGCGGCGUGCUUAACACAUGCAAGUCGAACGGAAAGGCCCUGCUUUUGUGGGGUGCUCGAGUGGCGAACGGGUGAGUAACACGUGAGUAACCUGCCCUUGACUUUGGGAUAACUUCAGGAAACUGGGGCUAAUACCGGAUAGGAGCUCCUGCUGCAUGGUGGGGGUUGGAAAGUUUCGGCGGUUGGGGAUGGACUCGCGGCUUAUCAGCUUGUUGGUGGGGUAGUGGCUUACCAAGGCUUUGACGGGUAGCCGGCCUGAGAGGGUGACCGGCCACAUUGGGACUGAGAUACGGCCCAGACUCCUACGGGAGGCAGCAGUGGGGAAUAUUGCACAAUGGGCGGAAGCCUGAUGCAGCAACGCCGCGUGCGGGAUGACGGCCUUCGGGUUGUAAACCGCUUUCGCCUGUGACGAAGCGUGAGUGACGGUAAUGGGUAAAGAAGCACCGGCUAACUACGUGCCAGCAGCCGCGGUGAUACGUAGGGUGCGAGCGUUGUCCGGAUUUAUUGGGCGUAAAGGGCUCGUAGGUGGUUGAUCGCGUCGGAAGUGUAAUCUUGGGGCUUAACCCUGAGCGUGCUUUCGAUACGGGUUGACUUGAGGAAGGUAGGGGAGAAUGGAAUUCCUGGUGGAGCGGUGGAAUGCGCAGAUAUCAGGAGGAACACCAGUGGCGAAGGCGGUUCUCUGGGCCUUUCCUGACGCUGAGGAGCGAAAGCGUGGGGAGCGAACAGGCUUAGAUACCCUGGUAGUCCACGCUGUAAACGGUGGGUACUAGGUGUGGGGUCCAUUCCACGGGUUCCGUGCCGUAGCUAACGCUUUAAGUACCCCGCCUGGGGAGUACGGCCGCAAGGCUAAAACUCAAAGGAAUUGACGGGGCCCCGCACAAGCGGCGGAGCAUGCGGAUUAAUUCGAUGCAACGCGUAGAACCUUACCUGGGUUUGACAUGGAUCGGGAGCGCUCAGAGAUGGGUGUGCCUCUUUUGGGGUCGGUUCACAGGUGGUGCAUGGCUGUCGUCAGCUCGUGUCGUGAGAUGUUGGGUUAAGUCCCGCAACGAGCGCAACCCUUGUUCACUGUUGCCAGCACGUUAUGGUGGGGACUCAGUGGAGACCGCCGGGGUCAACUCGGAGGAAGGUGGGGAUGACGUCAAGUCAUCUUGCCCCUUAUGUCCAGGGCUUCACGCAUGCUACAAUGGCUGGUACAGAGAGUGGCGAGCCUGUGAGGGUGAGCGAAUCUCGGAAAGCCGGUCUCAGUUCGGAUUGGGGUCUGCAACUCGACCUCAUGAAGUCGGAGUCGCUAGUAAUCGCAGAUCAGCAACGCUGCGGUGAAUACGUUCCCGGGGCU
Molecule: ribosomal RNA, 1346 nt
Filed under: uncultured bacterium
Lineage: Bacteria
Description: bacterial SSU rRNA
Rfam family: Bacterial small subunit ribosomal RNA
Source: RNAcentral